GAUGAACGCUGGCGGCGUGCCUAAUACAUGCAAGUCGAGCGAACAGACGAGGAGCUUGCUCCUCUGACGUUAGCGGCGGACGGGUGAGUAACACGUGGAUAACCUACCUAUAAGACUGGGAUAACUUCGGGAAACCGGAGCUAAUACCGGAUAAUAUAUUGAACCGCAUGGUUCAAUAGUGAAAGACGGUUUUGCUGUCACUUAUAGAUGGAUCCGCGCCGCAUUAGCUAGUUGGUUAGGUAACGGCUUACCAAGGCAACGAUGCGUAGCCGACCUGAGAGGGUGAUCGGCCACACUGGAACUGAGACACGGUCCAGACUCCUACGGGAGGCAGCAGUAGGGAAUCUUCCGCAAGGGGCGAAAGCCUGACGGAGCAACGCCGCGUGAGUGAUGAAGGUCUUCGGAUCGUAAAACUCUGUUAUUAGGGAAGAACAAAUGUGUAAGUACCUAUGCACGUCUUGACGGUACCUAAUCAGAAAGCCACGGCUAACUCCGUG
RNAcentral lists this ribosomal RNA (497 nucleotides) under uncultured bacterium. RNAcentral describes it as "partial 16S ribosomal RNA". It matches the Rfam family "Bacterial small subunit ribosomal RNA", at positions 28 to 507 of the family's 1533-position model. The record is from RNAcentral.